GCCUACGGGGGGCAGCAGUAGGGAAUUUUCGUCAAUGGGCGCAAGCCUGAACGAGCAAUGCCGCGUGAACGAGGAAGGUCUUCGGAUCGUAAAGUUCUGUUGAAGGGGAAAAAGAGCGGAGAGAGGAAAUGGUCUCCGAUUGAUAUUACCCUUCGAGGAAGUCACGGCUAACUACGUGCCAGCAGCCGCGGUAAUACGUAGGUGGCGAGCGUUAUCCGGAAUGAUUGGGGGUAAAGGGUGCGUAGGCGGCGUGUUAAGUCUGGAGUGAAAGGUACGGGUUAAACGGGUACAGGCUAUGGAAAUUG
Molecule: ribosomal RNA, 305 nt
Filed under: uncultured bacterium
Lineage: Bacteria
Description: bacterial SSU rRNA
Rfam family: Bacterial small subunit ribosomal RNA
Source: RNAcentral